AUUGGUGACAGCAGACUUUCUUUUCAGCAAAGAAAGGAAGAAGCUUAUUUCCAUUCCAAGGCCUGCUGCACUGUUUAAACCUUCUGUUUGGUCCAAAACCCUGGCAAACUACCGAUCAUGGGUUGCUCCAGAGCUUCAUCGUGUGAACCACAGAAUAGCAGAGGUUGGAAGGAGUUCCUUCAACAGAGACACCAGGACAAUUUUAUAGGGUGGAAGAUGAGUGCCUGAUUGACCUCAAAGCCUGGGUAAGGACCCACCAGCACUGGGACACUAAGUUUAAGUUAUGAGGCUUCUGGAGAUCUUACAGGUAAGGGAGACUAACGAGCUGAAAUACUUAAAGUCAAAUACCCCCUAGCCAAAAGUGAGAUUUAUGGGAGUAUUCUCUGUGUUUUCUUCUUAAUUCUUGAACUUGUGCUUCACUUCCCUAUCUAAAUUGAUUUUCAAGAUGUCAUGUUAAAAUGUUUUCCUUCUGCCAAGUAUAAGGGAAAUAUUUCUUAGAUUAAUAUCUGUAAGUCCUUAAUAUGCUUGUUGCAGCUUGAAACAAGAAAACUAACUAACUGGCUAAAAUUCCAC
This 573-nucleotide long non-coding RNA is filed under the name Gallus gallus (chicken). RNAcentral describes it as "lncRNA (ENSGALG00010028293.1)". The record is from RNAcentral. Lineage: Eukaryota; Metazoa; Chordata; Aves; Galliformes; Phasianidae.